Molecule: ribosomal RNA, 497 nt
Filed under: uncultured bacterium
Lineage: Bacteria
Description: partial 16S ribosomal RNA
Rfam family: Bacterial small subunit ribosomal RNA
Source: RNAcentral
GAUGAACGCUGGCGGCGUGCCUAAUACAUGCAAGUCGAGCGAACGGACGAGAAGCUUUCUUCUCUGAUGUUAGCGGCGGACGGGUGAGUAACACGUGGAUAACCUACCUAUAAGACUGGGAUAACUUCGGGAAACCAGAGCUAAUACCGGAUGAUAUUUUGAACCGCAUGGUUCAAAAGUGAAAGACGGUCUUGCUGUCACUUAUAGAUGGAUCCGCGCUGCAUUAGCUAGUUGGUAAGGUAACGGCUUACCAAGGCAACGAUGCAUAGCCGACCUGAGAGGGUGAUCGGCCACACUGGAACUGAGACACGGUCCAGACUCCUACGGGAGGCAGCAGUAGGGAAUCUUGCGCAAUGGGCGAAAGCCUGACGGAGCAACGCCGCGUGAGUGAUGAAGGUCUUCGGAUCGUAAAACUCUGUUAUUAGGGAAGAACAUAUGUGUAAGUAACUGUGGACAUCUUGACGGUACCUAAUCAGAAAGCCACGGCUAACUACGUG